GCCAUCUUAGCUCAGUUGGUAGAGCAGCGGUUUUGUAAACCGCAGGUCGUCGGUUCGAGUCCGACAGAUGGCU
RNAcentral lists this transfer RNA (73 nucleotides) under Phycisphaera sp. It matches the Rfam family "tRNA". From Rfam's summary of the family: Transfer RNA (tRNA) molecules are approximately 80 nucleotides in length. Their secondary structure includes four short double-helical elements and three loops (D, anti-codon, and T loops). Further hydrogen bonds mediate the characteristic L-shaped molecular structure. tRNAs have two regions of fundamental functional importance: the anti-codon, which is responsible for specific mRNA codon recognition, and the 3' end, to which the tRNAs corresponding amino acid is attached (by aminoacyl-tRNA synthetases). tRNAs cope with the degeneracy of the genetic code in two manners: having more than one tRNA (with a specific anti-codon) for a particular amino acid; and 'wobble' base-pairing, i.e. permitting non-standard base-pairing at the 3rd anti-codon position. RNAcentral also lists the same sequence under 2 other names. Lineage: Bacteria; Pseudomonadati; Planctomycetota; Phycisphaerae; Phycisphaerales; Phycisphaeraceae. The record is from Rfam by way of RNAcentral.